RNAcentral lists this ribosomal RNA (378 nucleotides) under Triticum aestivum (bread wheat). RNAcentral's name for it is "partial small subunit ribosomal RNA". The record is from RNAcentral. Lineage: Eukaryota; Viridiplantae; Streptophyta; Magnoliopsida; Poales; Poaceae.
AUAAUGAAACUUCAUGUCAAACUAGACUACACCUCUCUACGCGUCUUUGGUUGUGCAUGUUGGCCUAAUCUCCGUCCAUAUAACACCAGAAAACUCAUGUUUCGCUCCAAACAAUGUGUGUUCCUUGGGUAUAGUGCUCAACACAAGGGGGUCAAGUGUCUCGAUGUCUCCUCUGGUCGUGUCUACAUCUCUCGCGACGUAGUAUUCGAUGUGACUAAGUUUCCCUUUUUUGCUCUCCAUCCCAAUGUCGGUGCCUUGCUCUGUAAAGAAAUUCUCCGUUUGCCAUCAACUCUCACCGGCCUUGAUCCAAGGGAAAAUAACUGUGUUGACUCUAUGAUGACUAACCCGCUCACCACGUUGCAUGAGUUGUGUGAUGAU